GAUGCUCUCUGAUCUGGAUCCGGGGAGGAUGCGCGUGCCGCUGCUGCCGCUUCACUUGCAGGCACGCGCCUUGAAUCGUCGAUGAAGCACGAGAGCAAACCGAGAGCAGCCGACAGCUGAAGAUAGGUUGACCAAUAAACCACAUUGAAGAAGAGGAAAGAGAAGGGGAAGAGAGCUCUUGCAUAGAGGUCGACGCGUUUAGCAGCAGCAGGCUCGACUUCACUAAAACUUACCUGCACAGGUGAAAGAAUGGCCACAUAUAAUAAAGACAUACAAUCAUACUUAUGACUAUAUGUUGUUCUUUUUCUACAAACAUAUUUAGGCUAACAUGUUCAGCUAGUUGUGGAUCACUUUAAGACAGCAUCCUGCACAGGUUUGCUGUGCUGACUUUAUUCAUUAUUUGUAAUUUUUUAUACCGUGAUGUCCAUUCAGGGUUGUUCAGGUCUCCAACUUACAUUUGAAUAUAUAGAUUUAUUAAUUUAUUGACGUUUCUUUCUUCCUCAGAGUGUCUUUGUGUAUGCAUGUGUGUGUGGGCGUGUGUGUGCGUGUGUGUGUGUGCGUGCGCGUGUGUGUGUGUGUGUCU
This is a long non-coding RNA of Gambusia affinis (western mosquitofish), 583 nucleotides long. RefSeq lists it as uncharacterized. The transcript is spliced from 3 exons. The record is from RefSeq and is a predicted model, not a curated record. NCBI's taxonomy places the organism in Eukaryota, Metazoa, Chordata, Actinopteri, Cyprinodontiformes, Poeciliidae.